Molecule: RNA transcript, 1137 nt
Organism: Triticum aestivum (bread wheat)
Lineage: Eukaryota; Viridiplantae; Streptophyta; Magnoliopsida; Poales; Poaceae
Exons: 3
Source: RefSeq, a predicted model, not a curated record
CUGGGUCGUCGGAUCGACCCCUGGAGCGACCUCGUCCGUCGGAUCAAAAAAAAUUACUGCUGGAAUGAAUAGUUACCGUCUCGUUCGUGCCGCCGUGCGUAAAUAGCUUGCCCCGCCGAGGGCAAUUUCGUCACUUCGCCUAUACCUAUAUAUGGCGCCAUCUGCCGUGGAGACCUAGCCGCCGCCGCCUCCUCCUCCUCCUCCUCCCGCAGUCGCUCCUCCUCCACCCCUCCCCGCACUCGCUCCCUCCUCCACCCCUCCCGUGGCCAGAGCUAACCACACGCCACCGCCAUCUCCUCCAUCCAUCGGCCGCCACCUUCGCCGGCUCCUCCCCCAACUCCCCCCCCCCCCCCCCCCCCCCGCAUCUCCUUCCCGUCUUCAGGCCGCGUGCUGCCACCACCCUUCCUCCUCUCCUUCCAUUAUUCCCCUCCCCUAACCCUAGAAAUGGAAGAGGGGGGCCGGUCGUCCGCGGCGCCGUGGCCGCCGUCCAGAACGCUCGCCGGCGUGGAUGCGUGGUGCGAGGCUGGGGAUGCUGUCCCCGCGUUGCUGGUGGAGACGGAGACCCGGUGGCCGACCGACAUGUGCAGCACCGCCCGCAACUGCUUCCAUGGCUUCCUCGGCCACCUUGUGAUGGAGAUGCCUCCCUGCUUCACCAAUGCUAGAUGCUUGCUUAUGUGGUUGCAGAUCGACUUGCGAUAUGUUAAGCGAAUCACCAUGUCACGCAAUGAGCAAUUAGAGAAGAGUGUUUCACAAAGGUGAGAUAAAUGAUGAUGUAAUAAUGGAUGCCUUCUGAAUGCUGCAUGUGCGGUUCCCGAAUUGGACCGUAUAUUUUUGCCAAGAUCUUCAAGUAUGGCAUUUGCUUAAUUCUCUAACAUCUGCCAUUUAAAGUUCCUCUCUUUGCUUCUAAUCAAUCAGUGUAGAUACUACUCCCUCCGUUCUUAAAUAUAAGUCUUUUAGAAAUUUCAAUGAGGACUACAUACGGAUGUAUAUAGACAUAUUUUGAAGUGUAGAUUCACUCAUUUUACUCUGUAUGUAGUCUAUAUUGGAAUCUCUAAAAGAACUUGCAUUCAAGAACAAAGGAAGUAUUUUCUUAAGUUUUUGUGCAACAACAGAAUUAACAAUUGUUUGUUCUGUUUA